This 520-nucleotide ribosomal RNA is filed under the name uncultured Glomeromycotina. RNAcentral's name for it is "SSU rRNA". It matches the Rfam family "Eukaryotic small subunit ribosomal RNA", at positions 569 to 1088 of the family's 1831-position model. Lineage: Eukaryota; Fungi; Glomeromycota. The record is from RNAcentral.
AGCAGCCGCGGUAAUUUCAGCUCCAAUAGCGUAUAUUAAAGUUGUUGCAGUUAAAAAGCUCGUAGUUGAAUUUCGGGGUUAGUAGGUUGGUCAUGCCUCUGGUAUGUACUGGUCUCACUGAUUCCUCCUUCCUGAUGAACCUUAAUGCCAUUAAUUUGGUGUUUUGGGGAAUUUGGACUGUUACUUUAGAAAAAAUUAGAGUGUUUAAAGCAAGCUAACGCUUGAAUACAUUAGCAUGGAAUAAUGAAAUAGGACGUUCGAUCCUAUUUUGUUGGUUUCUAGGAUUGACGUAAUGAUUAAUAGGGAUAGUUGGGGGCAUUAGUAUUCAAUUGUCAGAGGUGAAAUUCUUGGAUUUAUUGAAGACUAACUACUGCGAAAGCAUUUGCCAAGGAUGUUUUCAUUAAUCAAGAACGAAAGUUAGGGGAUCGAAGACGAUCAGAUACCGUCGUAGUCUUAACCAUAAACUAUGCCGACUAGGGAUCGGAUGAUGUUAAUUUUUUAAUGUACUCAUUCGGCGCCU